RNAcentral lists this unclassified non-coding RNA (332 nucleotides) under soil metagenome. RNAcentral describes it as "partial contains 5.8S ribosomal RNA, internal transcribed spacer 2, and large subunit ribosomal RNA". The stretch from base 1 to 120 matches the Rfam family "5.8S ribosomal RNA", at positions 35 to 154 of the family's 154-position model. The record is from RNAcentral.
GAUGAAGAACGCAGCGAAAUGCGAUAAGUAGUGUGAAUUGCAGAAUUCCGUGAAUCAUCGAAUCUUUGAACGCACAUUGCGCCCUUUGGUAUUCCUUAGGGCAUGCCUGUUCGAGCGUCAUUUAAACCUUCAAGCUAAGCUUGGUGUUGGGUGACUGUCCGCUUCACUGCGGACUCGCCUCAAAAUUAUUGGCGGCCGGUACAUUGGCUUCGAGCGCAGCAGAAACGCGAACUCGGGCCCGUCGUAUUGGCUCCCAGAAGCUAUCUUCACAAUUUUGACCUCGGAUCAGGUAGGGAUACCCGCUGAACUUAAGCAUAUCAAUAAGCGGAGGA